This 774-nucleotide ribosomal RNA is filed under the name uncultured Neocallimastigales. Its description in RNAcentral is "partial large subunit ribosomal RNA". It matches the Rfam family "Eukaryotic large subunit ribosomal RNA", at positions 24 to 637 of the family's 3401-position model. The record is from RNAcentral. Lineage: Eukaryota; Fungi; Neocallimastigomycota; Neocallimastigomycetes; Neocallimastigales.
GUAGUCUCGCACAGAUGCAUAUCAAUAAGCGGAGGAAAAGAAACUAACAAGGAUUCCCCUAGUAACGGCGAGUGAAGCGGGAAGAGCUCAAAUUUGAAAUCUUAAAGGGUUUCCCUUUACGAAUUGUAGUUUAAAGAAGUGUUUUCUGUUGAGGUUUUGGUAAAAGUUCUUUGGAAUAGGACAUCAUAGAGGGUGAGAAUCCCGUAUUUGACCUUUACUUUCAACUUUGUGAUACACUUUCAAAGAGUCGGAUUGUUUGGGAAUGCAGUCCAAAAUGGGUGGUAAAUUUCAUCUAAAGCUAAAUAUUGGCGAGAGACCGAUAGCGAACAAGUACCGUGAGGGAAAGAUGAAAAGAACUUUGAAAAGAGAGUUAAACAGUACGUGAAAUUGUCAAAAGGGAAGCGUUUGACACCAGUGUUGUUUUUCUGAAAAUCAAUUAAAGAACUGUUUAUGCUAAGUUGUUUAGACUUUAUCAGCUAACUGUUUAGUUUUGAGCUUUUCUUUAAUGCACUUUUCAGUUAACAAGUCAACAUCAAUUUCUUUUGCUGUAAAAAAGCUUGAGGAAGGUGGCUUGAGAUUCGUCUUAAGUGUUUAUAGCCUCUUGCCUAUGCAGUCGGAGAGAUUGAGGUCUGCAGCGUAGAUCCUUCGGGGCUAAAUGCAUUUGUGCUAAGUUAUAGCAUUUCAUAGACAACUUGUUGACUAUGAUUUGUCUUGUAGCUUACUCGCUUAUGUUAUUUUACCUACGCUUAGGAUGUUGACAGCAGUAUAGACUGU